RNAcentral lists this transfer RNA (83 nucleotides) under Candidatus Pacearchaeota archaeon CG1_02_30_18. RNAcentral's name for it is "tRNA-Leu". It matches the Rfam family "tRNA". From Rfam's summary of the family: Transfer RNA (tRNA) molecules are approximately 80 nucleotides in length. Their secondary structure includes four short double-helical elements and three loops (D, anti-codon, and T loops). Further hydrogen bonds mediate the characteristic L-shaped molecular structure. tRNAs have two regions of fundamental functional importance: the anti-codon, which is responsible for specific mRNA codon recognition, and the 3' end, to which the tRNAs corresponding amino acid is attached (by aminoacyl-tRNA synthetases). tRNAs cope with the degeneracy of the genetic code in two manners: having more than one tRNA (with a specific anti-codon) for a particular amino acid; and 'wobble' base-pairing, i.e. permitting non-standard base-pairing at the 3rd anti-codon position. Lineage: Archaea; Nanobdellati. The record is from RNAcentral. RNAcentral also lists the same sequence under 6 other names.
GCGGGGGUGCCGGAGUGGUCAAACGGGCAAGAUUAAGGCUCUUGUGGUUUAUCCUUACGCAGGUUCGAAUCCUGUCCCUCGCA